This 348-nucleotide unclassified non-coding RNA is filed under the name Hevea brasiliensis (rubber tree). The record is from RNAcentral. Lineage: Eukaryota; Viridiplantae; Streptophyta; Magnoliopsida; Malpighiales; Euphorbiaceae.
UGGUGGUGGAAAUUCCCAGAACUUUAACCAGUUUCAAAAUUUCAUUGCUCCUAUAUUGUUUAUUGCCUUUUUGUAUUCAUCAGUUCUUGUUGGUCCUCAUGACCAGAAGCAGAUUAGCUUCCAAGAGUUCAAAACCAAGCUACUUGAACCUGGCUUGGUGGAUCACAUUGUUGUUUCUAAUAAAUCAGUUGCUAAAGUGUAUGCAUGGAGCUCCCCAAAGAAUGGAAACCAAACCAGUGAUGAUGUUGUUCAGGUUCCUGCCAAUGGUAAUCCUCCUAGAAGGAACACCAGCCACUACAAAUAUUACUUUAACAUUGGGAGUAUUGAGUCUUUUGAGGAGAAGCUGGA